GUUUGUGACGAAACGGUACCGUCGGAGAAGGUAUUUUUCGAUUUAUUCAUUCAUAGUCUUUGUAGUUGAUAACUACUGCUAUUCGUUUCACUUUUUCUACAAAAAAUGUUCAGAAUUGCAAAUUUAAGACAAGGACGAGUAGAUCCUGCUGAAGAGGAGAGUAAAGCCAAAGCUCAUUGUGUCGGAAUUUUAUUCUGCUUCUUAGUGACUGUUGGUUUAAUAAGAGCUGCACCUCUUGCUAUUGAAUCGCUGAAAAGCUGAGAAUUUAAAUUAUGUCAAGAAGUUUCAUACAGAUUUCUACUCAUCUUACUGAACUCUUAGAAAACUUGAAAAUUCACGCUGUGUAUAGAAAACAUUAUGGAAUAAACUAAUUAUGUUAAACAUUG
Molecule: long non-coding RNA, 386 nt
Organism: Uloborus diversus
Lineage: Eukaryota; Metazoa; Arthropoda; Arachnida; Araneae; Uloboridae
Exons: 2
Source: RefSeq, a predicted model, not a curated record